AUUGAACGCUGGCGGCAGGCCUAACACAUGCAAGUCGAGCGAGCGGCGGACGGGUGAGUAAUGUCUGGGAAACUGCCUGCUGGAGGGGGAUAACUACUGGAAACGGUAGCUACUACCGCAUACCAUCAGAUGUGCCCAGAUGGGAUUAGCUAGUAGGUGGGGUAACGGCUCACCUAGGCGACGAUCCCUAGCUGGUCUGAGAGGAUGACCAGCCACCCUGGACCUGAGCCACGGUCCAGACUCCGACGGGAGGCAUCAGUGGGGAAUAUUGCACACUGGGCGCAAGCCUGAUGCAGCCAUGCCGAGUGGGUGAAGAAGGCCUUCGGGUUGUAAAGCACUUUCAGCGGGGAGGCGUUACCCGCAGAAGAAGCACCGGCUAACUCCGUGCCAGCAGCCGCGGUAAUAC
Molecule: ribosomal RNA, 406 nt
Filed under: uncultured bacterium
Lineage: Bacteria
Description: partial 16S ribosomal RNA
Rfam family: Bacterial small subunit ribosomal RNA
Source: RNAcentral